CGAAACCGUCCUUUCUUCCAGUAAGAACAGGAUAAGAUGGUGCCCCUGCCUGUUUUUACAUCCACAUUACAUUAGAAAAUGGUGGUCAAAUUUUACCAAAUGAACAGCAUCCCUGGUAGCGAGGUUGAGGAUGUCAGCACAGGAGACAACUCCUUUGCACUCUUUCCGGCUUUCAAGAACAGUCUUGAUCUUGUCAAUUAGGGCAAACCCUCCAAGCCCCCGAUUCUGUGAGGCAGUUUUCUCUGAGUUUGGUCCAUCCAGGAGGAUCGACGCGUCACAACCCUAGAUUGCAGGCACAGUAUAACCCCCAUGAGAAUCAUAGAUGAUCCAAAAUACUACAUACAGAAGUAUAGAUACAGUUUUCUCUAUAGAAUUGAAACUUGGCCGCCCAAAGAAACAAGUCUUCUUGAGUCCUCAAAAAUAGAUUCAGGUCCUAAACCUAUCAUCACUCCAACUACAGGAUAUUGUCAUAUAAGAAAAACCGAAAAGUAGUAGGAGAAACACAUACAUUUACAAAGCAAUCCGAGUAGAGCAACCUUAGGAGCUUAGGGGCAAUGCUCCCAUCCUUGAGCUUGUUCCAGUAAAACUCCACUUGGCUCCUAACAUACGCCUCUGCAUACCUACAAGUAGUAUUAAGCUUGUAGUAGUGCCAUGUCAGCUUCGUCUCGGGCAACGUCUCAGCAGCCUCCACCGUCACCAAGCUCGCGACGAGAGCCGUUAGAGCAAGGAGCGAAAAAAGAAUGCAUCGUUCUCGUCUCAUUUCUCUCCCCCUUUGAGCUCUUAUCAAUUUAGCUUGUAUCAACUCUGUGUGUACUCCUGUUAUUGGGAUCAUAUUACUAUGGACUUUGUUAUAUAGGUUCUAAGCGUCACUGACGUGGUCGAUAAUGACUGGUUGGAUGAAUUCAAAAAUAAUGAUAAUUUAAUGUGAUUUUAUUAUUUUUCAUUAUUUAUUUUAAA
Vitis riparia (riverbank grape) is the source of this 957-nucleotide long non-coding RNA. RefSeq lists it as uncharacterized. The record is from RefSeq and is a predicted model, not a curated record. Lineage: Eukaryota; Viridiplantae; Streptophyta; Magnoliopsida; Vitales; Vitaceae. The transcript has 2 exons.